RNAcentral lists this ribosomal RNA (253 nucleotides) under uncultured bacterium. RNAcentral's name for it is "partial 16S ribosomal RNA". It matches the Rfam family "Bacterial small subunit ribosomal RNA", at positions 524 to 776 of the family's 1533-position model. The record is from RNAcentral.
UACGUAGGGUGCGAGCGUUAAUCGGAAUUACUGGGCGUAAAGCGUGCGCAGGCGGUUUUGUAAGCCGGAUGUGAAAGCCCCGGGCUUAACCUGGGAAUGGCAUUUGGGACUGCAAGGCUUGAGUGCGGCAGAGGAGACUGGAAUUCCGCGUGUAGCAGUGAAAUGCGUAGAUAUGCGGAGGAACACCGAUGGCGAAGGCAAUCCCCUGGACCUGUACUGACGCUCAUGCACGAAAGCGUGGGGAGCAAACAGG